GACGAACGCUGGCGGCGUGCUUAACACAUGCAAGUCGAACGGCAAGGCCUUUUCGGAUGUCCUCGAGUGGCGAACGGGUGAGUAACACGUGGGUGAUCUGCCCUGCACUCUGGGUUAAGCCUGGGAAACUGGGUCUAAUACCGGAUAGGACCGCACUUUAGUGUGUGUGGUGGAAAGUUUUUUGGGUGUAUGAUGAGCCCGCGGCCUAUCAGCUUGUUGUUGGGGUUAUGGCCUACCAAGGCGGCCGCGGGUAGCCGGACUGAGAGGUUGGUCGGCCACAAAGAGACUGAGAGAAGGAACAGAAGCGGAAGAGAGGAAGAAGGGGGGAAUAAUGAACAAGGGGAGAAAGGCUGAUGAAGAGAAGCCGCGGGGGGGAAGACGGCCUUGGGGUGGAAAACAAGUAGCGGGAGGGAAGAAGCGUGUUGUGACGGUACCUGGAGAAGAAGCACCGGCUAACUACGUG
RNAcentral lists this ribosomal RNA (463 nucleotides) under uncultured bacterium. Its description in RNAcentral is "partial 16S ribosomal RNA". It matches the Rfam family "Bacterial small subunit ribosomal RNA", at positions 28 to 507 of the family's 1533-position model. The record is from RNAcentral.